GACGAACGCUGGCGGCGUGCCUAAUACAUGCAAGUAGAACGCUGAAGGAGGAGCUUGCUUCUCCGGAUGAGUUGCGAACGGGUGAGUAACGCGUAGGUAACCUGCCUGGUAGCGGGGGAUAACUAUUGGAAACGAUAGCUAAUACCGCAUAACAGUAGAUGUUGCAUGACAUUUGCUUAAAAGGUGCAAUUGCAUCACUACCAGAUGGACCUGCGUUGUAUUAGCUAGUUGGUGAGGUAACGGCUCACCAAGGCGACGAUACAUAGCCGACCUGAGAGGGUGAUCGGCCACACUGGGACUGAGACACGGUCCAGACUCCUACGGGAGGCAGCAGUAGGGAAUCUUCGGCAAUGGACGGAAGUCUGACCGAGCAACGCCGCGUGAGUGAAGAAGGUUUUCGGAUCGUAAAGCUCUGUUGUAAGAGAAGAACGAGUGUGAGAGUGGAAAGUUCACACUGUGACGGUAUCUUACCAGAAAGGGACGGCUAACUACGUG
Molecule: ribosomal RNA, 495 nt
Filed under: uncultured bacterium
Lineage: Bacteria
Description: partial 16S ribosomal RNA
Rfam family: Bacterial small subunit ribosomal RNA
Source: RNAcentral